UACGAAGGGGGCUAGCGUUGCUCGGAAUCAUUGGGCGUAAAGGGCGCGUAGGCGGCGGGGUAAGUCUGGUGUGAAAUCUCGGAGCUCAACUCCGAAAUUGCACUGGAUACUGCUCUGCUAGAGGGCUGGAGAGGAGAUCGGAAUUCACGGUGUAGCAGUGAAAUGCGUAGAUAUCGUGAGGAAGACCAGUGGCGAAGGCGGAUCUCUGGACAGCUCCUGACGCUGAGGCGCGAAGGCUAGGGGAGCAAACGGG
Molecule: ribosomal RNA, 253 nt
Filed under: uncultured bacterium
Lineage: Bacteria
Description: partial 16S ribosomal RNA
Rfam family: Bacterial small subunit ribosomal RNA
Source: RNAcentral